This 266-nucleotide ribosomal RNA is filed under the name uncultured bacterium. RNAcentral's name for it is "partial 16S ribosomal RNA". It matches the Rfam family "Bacterial small subunit ribosomal RNA", at positions 793 to 1055 of the family's 1533-position model. The record is from RNAcentral.
GUCCACGCCCUAAACGAUGUCAACUAGGUGUUGGGUGGGUAAAACCAUUUAGUACCAGAGCUAACGCGUGAAGUUGACCGCCUGGGGAGUACGGCCGCAAGGUUAAAACUCAAAGGAAUUGACGGGGACCCGCACAAGCGGUGGAUGAUGUGGAUUAAUUCGAUGCAACGCGAAAAACCUUACCUACCCUUGACAUGUCAGGAACUUGCCAGAGAUGGCUUGGUGCUCGAAAGAGAACAUGAACACAGGUGCUGCAUGGCUGUCGU